Molecule: long non-coding RNA, 400 nt
Filed under: Capsella rubella
Lineage: Eukaryota; Viridiplantae; Streptophyta; Magnoliopsida; Brassicales; Brassicaceae
Description: long non-coding RNA (CRUB_LNC002689)
Source: RNAcentral
AGAAAUGAAAUUAUAACUUGGGCUUAAUACGAGGUUAAAGAUUUGAUUUAAUUAUUAUUGUCAUCCAAAGGAAAAGCUAAAGAGUUUUUUUGUUUUUUUGUUUUUUUGUUUUUAUUCUGGAUCUUUGAAUCUUGAGAACUUUGAAGAAGAAGCUGAUGUAGCACAUCUUUUGCGUAGUACACAAGCUUCUAGACUUCUCUGUUUCCUUCUCGUUCUUUUCCAUUUUCUAUUUUCUUGUUAAUUUUCCUUUUGUCUCAAAUUUCUAUUUUCUUCUUUGUUUUGCCUUUUGUAUUUGGAUUUAGCUUCUCUAUUAAUAGUCCUCUAAUGAUUACAAAGAGGGACAUCCUUGAAUUGAUAAAGAGUUGUUUUCUUGUACCGAGCUUUGCAAAGAAGUGUAUUC